RNAcentral lists this ribosomal RNA (241 nucleotides) under uncultured bacterium. RNAcentral describes it as "partial 16S ribosomal RNA". It matches the Rfam family "Bacterial small subunit ribosomal RNA", at positions 536 to 776 of the family's 1533-position model. The record is from RNAcentral.
AAGCGUUAUCCGGAUUCACUGGGUUUAAAGGGUGCGUAGGUGGGCAGGUAAGUCAGUGGUGAAAUCUCCGGGCUUAACCCGGAAACUGCCAUUGAUACUAUCUGUCUUGAAUACCGUGGAGGUGAGCGGAAUAUGUCAUGUAGCGGUGAAAUGCUUAGAUAUGACAUAGAACACCAAUUGCGAAGGCAGCUCACUACACGAAUAUUGACACUGAGGCACGAAAGCGUGGGGAUCAAACAGG